UGAGGAAUAUUGGUCAAUGGGCGAGAGCCUGAACCAGCCAAGUCGCGUGAAGGAAGACUGCCUUAUGGGUUGUAAACUUCUUUUAUACAGGAAUAAAAAGGCUUACGUGUAGGCCAUUGCAAGUACUGUAUGAAUAAGCAUCGGCUAACUCCGUGCCAGCAGCCGCGGUAAUACGGAGGAUGCGAGCGUUAUCCGGAUUUAUUGGGUUUAAAGGGUGCGCAGGCGGGCUUUUAAGUCAGCGGUGAAAUCCGGACGCUUAACGUCCAAACUGCCGUUGGAACUGGGAGUCUUGAGUAUGGAUGAAGUAGGCGGAAUUCGUUGUGUAGCGGUGACAUGCAUAGAUAUAACGAGGAACUCCGAUUGCGUAGGCAGCUUACUAAGCCAUAACUGACGCUCAUGCACGAAAGCGUGGGGAUCAAACAGGAUUAGAUACCCUGGUAGUCCACGCCGUAAAACGAUGAUUACUAGUUGUAUGCGAUAUGAUAGUAUGUGACUAAGCGAAAGCGAUAAGUAAUCCACCUGGGGAGUACGCCGGCAACGGUGAAACUCAAAGGAAUUGACGGGGUCAUAGCUG
Molecule: ribosomal RNA, 574 nt
Filed under: uncultured bacterium
Lineage: Bacteria
Description: partial 16S ribosomal RNA
Rfam family: Bacterial small subunit ribosomal RNA
Source: RNAcentral